ACGUAUUAUGUGACCCGUGUCUCGUGGGAGUACAGCAGGCUUCCGGAGCUAACCGAUGUCCAUAUUGCAGGAGUCAUAUUGGCUCCUGCAUUAACAUAUAUUUAUAAGGGGCGAAGGGGGCCAGUGACGGUCUAGCGCCGUCGAGCCGUGGGCUCAAAAGCCUAUGAAUAAUGGAACCCACAUUUGGGCGCCGCGCUGACAAGUCGCAAGCCAUCGCUGAGUCGCUCGUCAAUAUAAGGACUUCCACAUACUUAUUAAUUAUUCUAUUUAAUACUUUUACGACUCAUUGUGAACCAUAUGAUAGUUUAAAUUAUUUUAUAUUUACAGGGACCACUGGCCUGUGACUGCUGAGUGCAGAGCCACCGAGUCAUCGUAAAAUUUAAUCACCUUCUCAUCCACUUGGAGAAGCAAACAGCAGGUUCACGUAAACGACAACUUGAAUUUGCUGGGGCCUGCCAUAACUGACAAAAAGUCUAUGGAGAAGCCACACAGUGACUGUGAUAUGAAGACAACCGACAAGCUGACUUACCUGCUGCCGCAGCAUCACCAACCAGCCUUCGUGCGCGCCUGCAUGGCCUAAGUUACCGCCUCGUGUGCAGCCUUUCCCAGCCGGAUGAAUAGGCAUGCAACCUCCCCGCGCACCAGUCCGAACAGCCCUGCUAACUGCGGCACCGUGCCUUCUGCCCUUCUCCUUCCGUGCGAUCACCAGCAUCCUCUGCAACUCUGCCAGCGUCCGCGAUGUGUCCACUGGCGUCCUAUACCGACGUACUUCAAACGCAGCGUUGUUACUAUUUAUAUUACAUGUUAUAUUACAUGGACCUAUAUAUGGGCCAAUUAGAUCAGUCAAUGAAUGCUCAAA
RNAcentral lists this unclassified non-coding RNA (859 nucleotides) under Leguminivora glycinivorella. RNAcentral's name for it is "uncharacterized LOC125226665, transcript variant X3". The record is from RNAcentral. Lineage: Eukaryota; Metazoa; Arthropoda; Insecta; Lepidoptera; Tortricidae.